GACGAACGCUGGCGGCGUGCUUAACACAUGCAAGUCGAACGGAAAGGCCCUGCUUUUGUGGGGUGCUCGAGUGGCGAACGGGUGAGUAACACGUGAGUAACCUGCCCUUGACUUUGGGAUAACUUCAGGAAACUGGGGCUAAUACCGGAUAGGAGCUCCUGCUGCAUGGUGGGGGUUGGAAAGUUUCGGUGGUUGGGGAUGGACUCGCGGCUUAUCAGCUUGUUGGUGGGGUAGUGGCUUACCAAGGCUUUGACGGGUAGCCGGCCUGAGAGGGUGACCGGCCACAUUGGGACUGAGAUACGGCCCAGACUCCUACGGGAGGCAGCAGUGGGGAAUAUUGCACAAUGGGCGGAAGCCUGAUGCAGCAACGCCGCGUGCGGGAUGACGGCCUUCGGGUUGUAAACCGCUUUCGCCUGUGACGAAGCGUGGGUGACGGUAAUGGGUAAAGAAGCACCGGCUAACUACGUG
RNAcentral lists this ribosomal RNA (468 nucleotides) under uncultured bacterium. RNAcentral's name for it is "partial 16S ribosomal RNA". It matches the Rfam family "Bacterial small subunit ribosomal RNA", at positions 28 to 507 of the family's 1533-position model. The record is from RNAcentral.